This 603-nucleotide ribosomal RNA is filed under the name Triticum aestivum (bread wheat). RNAcentral describes it as "partial small subunit ribosomal RNA". Lineage: Eukaryota; Viridiplantae; Streptophyta; Magnoliopsida; Poales; Poaceae. The record is from RNAcentral.
AUGGUUCAGGCCCAUCAGGCCACCGAUGCCGCCAGUGUUCUUCUGAGCGCCAUUCCCCAUCUUGGCAUUCCCUGCCGCCGCGCCCAUGUUCAUCUUCUGGUUCUGGUUGUUCUGAUGGUGGUUGUUCCCUGCUGGGGCGCCUUUCUUGCCGCCGACAUUGGCGGCAUUGCCGCCGUUCUUGUUCUUGGCGUUGAUCGCCGCCGCAGCCUCGGCGCGCUGCCUGAGGAUGCCGAGCUGGCUCAUCUUGUCCCCGAGGAAGCGGAGGUCGUCCUCAUACUCAUCGUCAAACUCAUCAUCGUCUUCGUCGUCCUCAUCAUCAUACAUAUCAUCUUCGUCAUCCGAGCUCAGGUCAGGGAGCUGGUGCUUGCUGUGCUGGCUCUUGAAGGCCUUGAGCCCCUGCAUGAGGCUCCCAACUCCGCCACCAAGCUUGCCCUGCUCCUUCUGCCCGCCGCUGCCCUUGCCGCCGCCAUCCUUGCUCACAUUGGCAGCCUGCUUCUGCUGCUGCUGCUGCUGCUGCUGCUGCUGCUUCUGCUGGUUGUUGUUGUUGUUGCCAUUGCCCUUGUGGCCCUGGUUGUUGUUGCCGCUGCCGCCCUUCUGGUGUGA